Non-coding RNA from Pelobates cultripes (western spadefoot toad), 481 nucleotides. The record is from the annotation of a GenBank genome assembly. Lineage: Eukaryota; Metazoa; Chordata; Amphibia; Anura; Pelobatidae.
UGUGAGCUGGGUUGAUCUAUGACUGUGUGAGUGGGGUUGAUCUUUGAUUGUGUGUGAGCUGGGUUGAUCUAUGACUGUGUGUGAGGUGGGCUGAUUAGGGACUGUGUGUGGACUGAGCUGAUAUAGGACUGCGUGUGAGCUAGGUUGAUCUAUGACUGUGUGAGCUAGGUUGAGAUAGGACUGUAUGUGAGCUGGGUUGAUCUGUGACUGUGUGAGUUGGGUUGAUCUAUGACUGCGUGUGAGUUCAGUUGAUCUAUGAUUCUGUGUGAGCUGGGCUGAUUAGGGACUGUGUGUGAGCUCAGUUGAUCUAUGACUGUAUGUGAGCUGGGCUAAUCUAUGAUUGUGUGUGAGCUAGGCUGAUUUAGGACUGUGUGUGAGCUGGGCUGGGCUAAUCUAUGAUUGUGUGUGAGCUGGUUGGUUUAUGGCUGCCUGUGGUCUGGGUAAUAUAGGACUGCCUAUGAGCUAGCCUAAUAUAGGACUG